AUUGAACGCUGGCGGCAUGCCUUACACAUGCAAGUCGAACGGCAGCGGGUCCUUCGGGAUGCCGGCGAGUGGCGAACGGGUGAGUAAAGCAUCGGAACGUACCGUGUAGUGGGGGAUAACGUAGCGAAAGGUACGCUAAUACCGCAUACGCUGUGAGCAGGAAAGCGGGGGAUCGCAAGACCUCGCGCUAUCCCAGCGGCCGAUGUCAGAUUAGCUAGUUGGUGAGGUAAGGGCUCACCAAGGCGACGAUCUGCAGCGGCUAUGAGAGGAUGAUCCGCCACACUGGGACUAAGAGCCGGCCCAGACUCCUCCGUGAGUCAGCAGUGGUGAAUUUUGGGCAAUGGGGGCAACCCUGGUCCAGCCAUGCCGCGUGAGUGAAGAAGGCCUUCGGUUUGUAAAGCUCUUUCGGACGGGAAGAAAUCGCACGGGCUAAUACUCUGUGUGGAUGACGGUACCGUAAUAAGAAGCACCGGCUAACUACGUGCCAGCAGCCGCCGUAA
RNAcentral lists this ribosomal RNA (500 nucleotides) under uncultured bacterium. RNAcentral's name for it is "partial 16S ribosomal RNA". It matches the Rfam family "Bacterial small subunit ribosomal RNA", at positions 30 to 523 of the family's 1533-position model. The record is from RNAcentral.